RNAcentral lists this ribosomal RNA (1399 nucleotides) under uncultured Oscillospiraceae bacterium. RNAcentral describes it as "bacterial SSU rRNA". It matches the Rfam family "Bacterial small subunit ribosomal RNA". The record is from RNAcentral. Lineage: Bacteria; Bacillati; Bacillota; Clostridia; Eubacteriales; Oscillospiraceae.
UAACACAUGCAAGUCGAACGGACUUUAUGGGAUUUAUCUUAUAGAGUUAGUGGCGGACGGGUGAGUAACACGUGAGCAACCUACCUUUUGCAGGGGAAUAACACUGGGAAACCAAUGCUAAUACCGCAUGUUGUACUUGUGAGGCAUCUUACGGGUAUGAAAGGAGCAAUCCGGCAGAAGAUGGGCUCGCGUCCGAUUAGGCAGUUGGUGGGGUAACGGCUCACCAAACCGAGGAUCGGCAGCCGGACUGAGAGGUUGAACGGCCACAUUGGGACUGAGACACGGCCCAGACUCCUACGGGAGGCAGCAGUGGGGAAUUUUGGGCAAUGGGGGGAACCCUGACCCAGCGACGCCGCGCGAAGGAAGAAGGCCUUCNGGUUGUAAGCUUCUUUGAGGAGGGACGAAGAUGACGGUACCUCCAGAACAAGCCACGGCUAACUACGUGCCAGCAGCCGCGGUAAUACGUAGGUGGCGAGCGUUAUCCGGAAUUACUGGGUGUAAGGGCGGCAGGCGGCAUUAAAAGUCAGGUGUGAGAGCCAAGGCUUAACUUUGGACGGUAUUGAAUUANGAGUGUCAGAGGGGAAAGUGGAAUUCCUAGUGGAGCGGUAAAAUGCGCAGAGAUUAGGAGGAACACCGGUGGCGAAGGCGACUUUCUGGCUGACAACUGACGCUGAGGCGCGAAGGGUGGGGAGCAAACAGGAUUAGAUACCCUGGUAGUCCACGCCGUAAACGAUGAUUACUGGGUGAAGGGGGUAUCGACUCCCUCUGUGCCGAAGCAAACGCGAUAAGUAAUCCACCUGGGGAGUACGGCGCAAGGCUAAAACUCAAAGGAAUUGACGGGGCCNCACAAGCGNGGAGAUGUGGUUAAUUCGAGGACGGAAGACCUUACCGGGUUUGCAUCCAGCGCCAGGGCUAGAGAUAGUUUGUUCUCUUCGGAGACGCUGAGACAGGUGGUGCAUGGUUGUCGUCAGCUCGUGUCGUGAGAUGUUCGGUUAAGUCCGGCAACGAGCGCAACCCCUGUUGCCAGUUGCCAUCAUUGGGUUGGGCACUUUGGCGAGACUGCCGUUGACAAAAUGGAGGAAGGUGGGGAUGACGUCAAAUCAUCAUGCCCCUCAUAUCCUGGGCUACACACGUACUACAAUGGGCGCAGACAGCGGGCAGCGAAGCGGCGACGCGGAGCGAAUCCUGAAAGGCGCCCUCAGUUCGGAUUGCGGGCUGCAACUCGCCUGCAUGAAGCCGGAAUUGCUAGUAAUGGCAGGUCAGCAUACUGCCGUGAAUACGUUCCCGGGCCUUGUACACACCGCCCGUCACAGCAAGAGAGUAUGUAACACCCGAAGUCAGUAGCUUAACCGAUUUAGUUAUUGGAGGACGCUGCCGAAGGUGGGACAUUAUUGGGGUG